AGAAAAGUCUCAGAGAAUCAAUACCCCUCCCCCCAAUAAAACACCAAAAAGCCAGGCAAGAGGUAUGGGUCUACUGGUAGAGCGCAAGUGGAACAAGUGCAAGACCUGGCAUUCAAAAGUCUGAUAUCAGCAAAAAAGCCAAUACCACGGGGGAAGAAAGCCCCCAAA
Molecule: long non-coding RNA, 168 nt
Organism: Perognathus longimembris pacificus (Pacific pocket mouse)
Lineage: Eukaryota; Metazoa; Chordata; Mammalia; Rodentia; Heteromyidae
Exons: 3
Source: RefSeq, a predicted model, not a curated record